Molecule: ribosomal RNA, 426 nt
Filed under: uncultured prokaryote
Description: bacterial SSU rRNA
Rfam family: Bacterial small subunit ribosomal RNA
Source: RNAcentral
UGAGGAAUUUUGCGCAAUGGGGGCAACCCUGACGCAGCAACGCCGCGUGAGUGAUGAAGGCUUUCGGGUCGUAAAGCUCUGUCGAGUGGGAAGAAACAGUUCAGGUUAAUAUCCUGAACCUUGACGGUACCACUAAAGGAAGCACCGGCUAACUCCGUGCCAGCAGCCGCGGUAAUACGGGGGGUGCAAGCGUUAUUCGGAAUUAUUGGGCGUAAAGGGUGCGUAGGCGGUUUUGUAAGUCAGAUGUGAAAUCCCGGGGCUUAACCUCGGAACUGCAUUUGAUACUGCAAGACUUGAGUAUGGGAGAGGGAAGCGGAAUUCCUGGUGUAGAGGUGAAAUUCGUAGAUAUCAGGAGGAACACCGGUGGCGAAGGCGGCUUCCUGGACCAAUACUGACGCUGAGGCACGAAGGCGUGGGGAGCAAACA